UACAGAGGUCUCAAGCGUUGUUCGGAUUCAUUGGGCGUAAAGGGUCCGUAGGCGGUGCGGAAAGUCGAUAGUGAAAUCUCUGGGCUUAACCCAGAGGCUGCUAACGAAACUGCCGUGCUAGAGUGUGAGAGAGGCGAGUGGAAUUACGGGUGUAGCGGUGAAAUGCGUAGAUAUCCGUAGGAACAUCCGAGGCGAAAGCGGCUCGCUGGAUCACAACUGACGCUGAGGGACGAAAGCUAGGGGAGCAAACAGG
This 253-nucleotide ribosomal RNA is filed under the name uncultured bacterium. RNAcentral's name for it is "partial 16S ribosomal RNA". It matches the Rfam family "Bacterial small subunit ribosomal RNA", at positions 524 to 776 of the family's 1533-position model. The record is from RNAcentral.